GUUCCGGUGGCUUACUGGUUAGGGCGUCCGCCUCAGAUGAGGGAGGUCGAGGGUUCAAUCCCCGGUUGAGUCA
Potamilus streckersoni is the source of this 73-nucleotide non-coding RNA. The record is from the annotation of a GenBank genome assembly. NCBI's taxonomy places the organism in Eukaryota, Metazoa, Mollusca, Bivalvia, Unionida, Unionidae.